UUUAGAGUUUGAUCUUGGCUCAGGACGAACGCUGGCGGCGUGCUUAACACAUGCAAGUCGAACGAUGAAGCCUAGCUUGCUAGGUGGAUUAGUGGCGAACGGGUGAGUAAUACGUGAGUAACCUACCUUUAACUCUGGGAUAAGCCUGGGAAACUGGGUCUAAUACCGGAUACGACCAAUCUCCGCAUGGGGUGUUGGUGGAAAGCGUUAUGUAGUGGUUAUAGAUGGGCUCACGGCCUAUCAGCUUGUUGGUGAGGUAACGGCUCACCAAGGCGACGACGGGUAGCCGGCCUGAGAGGGUGACCGGCCACACUGGGACUGAGACACGGCCCAGACUCCUACGGGAGGCAGCAGUGGGGAAUAUUGCACAAUGGGCGCAAGCCUGAUGCAGCGACGCCGCGUGAGGGAUGACGGCCUUCGGGUUGUAAACCUCUGUUAGCAGGGAAGAAGAGAGAUGACGUCC
This 463-nucleotide ribosomal RNA is filed under the name Rothia mucilaginosa. Its description in RNAcentral is "bacterial SSU rRNA". It matches the Rfam family "Bacterial small subunit ribosomal RNA", at positions 1 to 463 of the family's 1533-position model. Lineage: Bacteria; Bacillati; Actinomycetota; Actinomycetes; Micrococcales; Micrococcaceae. The record is from RNAcentral.